ACGAUGCAUACAAAUGUACUUGUCUCUGUGGGCUGCCCCAAGAUUUAUGACUCUUUUGCCUUCUGUAGCUGUAAACAAGGGAGGGAAAAAAAAAAAAAACCAGUCCAUGCACCGCUUGCUACCUGAAGGAGCCUUAAAAAAAAAAGAGGAGGGCGACAGCGGGCGCAAAACUUGAAUUUUUCCCUUUUUUCCCUCUCUUUAUUUCAGGCUGAAAAUGGCAUUUUUCGCAGCCGGGGUGCGGAGCGCGGCGCGGCGAAUUUCCACCUGGGAUUUGCAGAGAUUUAUAUUUUUUUUGCGGGGCAAGGAGGGAGCGGCGGCUGGUUCCUCCUCCAGGCGUUCCCGCUGCCCCCGGAAGAGAUCGCAGCUUAAAAAAAAAAAAUAAAAGAAGAAGAAGAAAAGGGGGAAAAAAAUCCGAAAUGCAGGAAAAAAAAAUAAACCAAAAAAAAGAGCAAUUUCGGGAAAAAAAAUCUUCGCUUUUCCGCGUUUUCCCUCCGGAGCCGCCGCCGCCGCCUUCGCAGCCGCCGGAACGGGACGAAGAUGCUGGAGUUUGGGUGGAAAUUUGAAAGAUUUGGGAAGAGUUGGUUAAGCUAAAAUUGUAUUUCUUGAGCGCUGCGGGCUGGAAAUGAAGUUAGAUUUCUUGGCAGAGCUGCGGUUUUCGGGGCUUCGUGGUAGUUUUCAGUAGCGGGACUCACUGCGGAUGUGUUCCCUUUUAUAAUAUAUAUUUUUAUGUAUUAGAAUUUUUUUAUAUUAGAAUUUUUACAUUGUAUUUUUAAUAUAUUAUAUAAAAUUUAUAUAUUAUAGAUAAAAUAUAUACACACGCGGGGCUUUGCACACAUAUAUAACACCAGAAAGCUGCUUGCAUUGCACCGAGAGGGGGGGAAAAAAAAAAGAAAACCAGACAAAAACUCACCAAAAUACUCCAAGGAGAGGCGGGAACUCACAUUUUUUACUCGUUUUGGAACCCGGGCUUUUCAGCAAACCUCAAGAAACCCUUUGCUCGCCUCCCCCUCUUCGUGACUUAGAUAUAUUUUUGAAAAAAGGCGGCGGGGAGCGCGGGCCGGCCAGCGCGGAGCCGCUCCAGCCUCUCCUCCCGCCCGCCUUCCCGACUUAUUUUAAUAUCCUUUUAAACCCCAAAUGGGUUAUUUUGGGGGUGUGCAGAACACGCCUCCUCCUCGUUCACAUGUUGCCAAUUUAAUCUGCUCUUUGAAACCACUUUUCUUUUAUUAUUUAGGGGAGGGAGAAGGGUUUU
Non-coding RNA from Phalacrocorax carbo (great cormorant), 1249 nucleotides. The record is from RefSeq and is a predicted model, not a curated record. Lineage: Eukaryota; Metazoa; Chordata; Aves; Suliformes; Phalacrocoracidae.